Molecule: non-coding RNA, 1664 nt
Organism: Pelodiscus sinensis (Chinese soft-shelled turtle)
Lineage: Eukaryota; Metazoa; Chordata; Testudines; Trionychidae
Source: RefSeq, a predicted model, not a curated record
GGCCCUCUCAGAGGUCCAGAAAAGGCCCAAGCCACCUCCAGCUUUUGAGGCCCCCUAGCCACAAUAAAAAUAAAAAAGGACGACACGUGAAAACCAAAAACGGCACCAAAAAAGAGUUACUGCCAAUUUCAGCGCCUCCCAAGAGCACAUACAACAGCCUGUGGUGUCGGAUUAAGGGAGACAGAUGCUGCUUCACAGGGGCUCAUAUUCUUAAUAGGUACAAGGCCGUUGCUCCAUGUUAAACCUCCAGCCUAGUCUUCAGUGCUGACACAAGAAAAAGCAUGGUCUAUUUACAUCAAAGGGAUAAAUUCAGUGGGACUGUACAAAUAAGGAAUGAAACAAUCUUCUCCAGAGGGGGUCACGAAUCUACUCUGCCCAGAACUUCAUGUCAGUCAGAAACAAGAACAUGAAGCAGAGCUACAGAGAACCCAUUAGCCAUGGUCCAGUCUGACAUGAAAGAUACAGUAAGUUUAUUACUGUAACGUUUCAUCCUUUGACUUCCAUAGGAGCAGAGAAAGGCCAGAGGGGCUUUCAGAUCGGAAAUUGGCAUCAGGAGGGUUCACUCCACCCACAGUUGCCCAGGCAUAUGGCCAAGGAAAACUCAGUAAACCCAGGUGUAAUUUUCCACAAUGCUUCCUGCAACAGGAAUCCUGGGAAUCCUUCCUCAAUGGGGUUAUUUUCUUUCUUUACAAAAGUGGGUUUCCAGUUUUAAUUUUUUGGACUCUAUUCAACAGAAUCAACACAACCAGAAUUAAUGAAUGUUUUGCAAAACAUAACCAUUCUCCUCUAAUAUGUGAUAAGCAUAAAUGCACAGGAGGGAGACAAAUUGCUCAGAGGAGGCCUGGGGGUGGAGGUAACUAGGAGUAAUAGGAAGCCAUUACUAAAAGUGAAUUAACAGCACCCCAGAUGUUUGCUAUGACAGGAGUAUUGUUAUCCCAGGAUUAUUUUGCAGUCACUCACCCAUGGGCUGGAUACUGUCCCAAAGAACUCAAUGAGAAUUUUGUGAUUGGCUUUAAUGAGAGCUGGAUCAGACCCCGGGGUCUUUCUGAUCUUUGGUCUCUCUGUCCUAUCCAUAUGAGCUCUGAGUACGGAGCGUUGUGGUGGUACUAAGAUAUUACUGUGCCCCUUUGUAUGGGCAAGAAUGUUAGUUCAUGUCCCAUUGCUCAUGUGAACUUUAGGAAAACCUUACCAAUCACUCUAGUGUUAGAGACAAAGCAAUUCAUUAGCAGCUCAGAUUUUUUUAUCUUAGUUGCCAUCACUGCUGCCUUCCAUGUUGUUUCUUCAUUUAGGGUUAAUCGUUUGAAUGAAACACUAGUUAUCAGCAUCGCCUCAGGGUUUUGCUCAGCCCCCUUCUUGCUAAAUGGAUAUGUGGGGCUGUUGAGGGAGUAGGUACAGCUUGUGAGUCUUCACUAUCCAGCUUUAUCCAUCUCUUCUAACCUUGAAGAUACAGUGGAACCUCUUGCCCUGAGUCAAAGGAAAUGGAGGCCUAGAUAACAGCUACCCAGUGAGGUUCAACCCAGAGAUGGCAGAGACAAUAUCUGCAGGAUGGAAGAAACAAAAAUACUGCAGAUAGAACCUCUCUACUCAGCACCCUUUUGACUGGUGCUGAACCAAAAGAAGUCAAUAUUGUUUAGCAGCAUUACCAACACUUCCACUGCUGGGCU